RNAcentral lists this ribosomal RNA (253 nucleotides) under uncultured bacterium. RNAcentral's name for it is "partial 16S ribosomal RNA". It matches the Rfam family "Bacterial small subunit ribosomal RNA", at positions 524 to 776 of the family's 1533-position model. The record is from RNAcentral.
UACGGAGGGGGCAAGCGUUGUUCGGAAUUACUGGGCGUAAAGGGCUCGUAGGCGGUCUGUUGCGUCGGGAGUGAAAACUCAGGGCUUAACCCUGAGCCUGCUUCCGAUACGGGCAGACUAGAGGUAUGCAGGGGAGAACGGAAUUCCUGGUGUAGCGGUGAAAUGCGCAGAUAUCAGGAGGAACACCGGUGGCGAAGGCGGUUCUCUGGGCAUUACCUGACGCUGAGGAGCGAAAGUGUGGGGAGCGAACAGG